Molecule: ribosomal RNA, 570 nt
Filed under: Elphidium sp. S7
Lineage: Eukaryota; Foraminifera; Rotaliida; Elphidiidae
Description: SSU rRNA
Rfam family: Eukaryotic small subunit ribosomal RNA
Source: RNAcentral
UGACUCACGCAGGAAUCUUACCGGGUCCGGACACACUGAGGAUUGACAGAUACAGUGAAAAAUAUGAUAGCUCUUUCAUAAUUAUGUGAUAGGUGGUGCAUGGCCGUUCUUAGUUCGUGGAGUGAUCUGUCUGCUUAAUUGCGUUGGUAUAUAUAAUGCAUGUUAAUUGCAUUUUUACCAUGCAACGAACGUGACCGCAACCUCUUGUUGCACUAUAGCUUCUCAUGGUGCAAAACUAGAGGGACCGCUGUAUUUAUUUCUUUUAGCCAGAGGAAGGAUGCGGCAAUAACAGGUCUGUGAUGCCCUCAGAUGUCCCGGGCUGCACACGUGCUACAAUGAUUAUUGCACUGCGUAUCUUCUAACGCGGCGAUUUAAUUAAUUUAAAAUCACCGCGACACCCGUGUCGAUAGGCUAUACGGGUAACCCUUUAGAAGUAAUGAUUUCCAACGUAUAUAAUAUCAACUCAUGGUGGGGACAGACCAUUGAUAAUUGUUGGUCUCGGUCACAACUAGGAAUGCCUUGUACGAGUUGGUUCAUUAAACCACUCGGAAUACGUCCCUGCCCUUUGUA